RNAcentral lists this ribosomal RNA (425 nucleotides) under uncultured bacterium. RNAcentral describes it as "bacterial SSU rRNA". It matches the Rfam family "Bacterial small subunit ribosomal RNA", at positions 30 to 451 of the family's 1533-position model. The record is from RNAcentral.
AUUGAACGCUGGCGGCAGGCCUAACACAUGCAAGUCGAGCGGAAACGAUCCUAGCUUGCUAGGAGGCGUCGAGCGGCGGACGGGUGAGUAAUGCAUAGGAAUCUGCCCGGUAGUGGGGGAUAACCUGGGGAAACCCAGGCUAAUACCGCAUACGCCCUACGGGGGAAGCAGGGGAUCUUCGGACCUUGCGCUAUCGGAUGAGCCUAUGUCGGAUUAGCUAGUUGGUGAGGUAAAGGCUCACCAAGGCUGCGAUCCGUAGCUGGUCUGAGAGGAUGAUCAGCCACAUCGGGACUGAGACACGGCCCGAACUCCUACGGGAGGCAGCAGUGGGGAAUAUUGGACAAUGGGCGAAAGCCUGAUCCAGCCAUGCCGCGUGUGUGAAGAAGGCCUUCGGGUUGUAAAGCACUUUUCAGUGAGGAAGAAAG